UCCUCGUUUAAGCGAGGCAGUCUGUCCAGAGUGCUUCGAACUCUCGUUCAAGUGGCAACAGGACAUAAGGGUUGCGCUCGUUGCGGGACUUAACCCAACAUCUCACGACACGAGCUGACGACAACCAUGCACCACCUGUCACUCUGUCCCCCGAAGGGGAAAGUCCUAUCUCUAGGAUUGUCAGAGGAUGUCAAGACCUGGUAAGGUUCUUCGCGUUGCAUCGAAUUAAACCACACGCUCCGCUGCUUGUGCGGGCCCCCGUCAAUUCCUUUGAGUUUUAGCCUUGCGGCCGUACUCCCCAGGCGGGAUGCUUAAAGCGUUAGCUGCGGCACGGAGGGGGUCGACACCCCCCACACCUAGCAUCCACCGUUUAGGGCUAGGACUAC
RNAcentral lists this unclassified non-coding RNA (386 nucleotides) under uncultured bacterium. RNAcentral's name for it is "contains 16S-23S intergenic spacer region". The record is from RNAcentral.